This 478-nucleotide ribosomal RNA is filed under the name uncultured bacterium. RNAcentral describes it as "partial 16S ribosomal RNA". It matches the Rfam family "Bacterial small subunit ribosomal RNA", at positions 28 to 523 of the family's 1533-position model. The record is from RNAcentral.
GACGAACGCUGGCGGCGUGCUUAACACAUGCAAGUCGAACGGUAAGGCCCUUCGGGGUACACGAGUGGCGAACGGGUGAGUAACACGUGGGUGAUCUGCCCUGCACUUCGGGAUAAGCCUGGGAAACUGGGUCUAAUACCGGCUAGGACUCCUGGCUUCAUGGUUGGGGGUGGAAAGCUUUUGCGGUGUGGGAUGGGCCCGCGGCCUAUCAGCUUGUUGGUGGGGUAAUGGCCUACCAAGGCGACGACGGGUAGCCGGCCUGAGAGGGUGACCGGUCACACUGGGACUGAGAUACGGCCCAGACUCCUACGGGAGGCAGCAGUGGGGAAUAUUACACAAUGGGCGCAAGCCUGAUGCAGCGACGCCGCGUGAGGGAUGACGUCCUUCGGGUUGCAAACCUCUUUCAGCUAUGACGAAGCGCAAGUGACGGUAGUAGCAGAAGAAGGACCGGCCAACUACGUGCCAGCCGCCGCCGUAA